AUGGGGUCGAGGUACGAGGUGGAGGUGACGGUGGGCUCGGCGCGGGACCUCAAGAACGUCAACUGGCGCAACGGCGACCUGCAGCCCUACGCCGUGCUCUGGGUCGACGACGGCCCCAAGUGCUCCUCCCGCGUCGACCUGGACAACGGCGAGAGCCCCGAGUGGGACGAGAAGCUCACCGUCCCGCUCCCGCCGUCCACCACCCGCCUCGAGGACGCGGUGCUCCACAUCGACGUCGUCCACGCCAACGCCGCCGAGGGCACCAAGCCGCUCGUGGGGUCCGCGCGCCUGCCGCUGCGCGACGUCCUCGACGACGCCGGGCUCGGCGGCCGAGCGUCCCGCUCGCUCCGCCUCAAGCGCCCCUCGGGCCGGCCCCAGGGCCGCGUCGACGUCCGCGUCGCCGUCCGCGAGACCGCCCGCUACUACGACCCCGCCUACCCGCCGCCCUACGGCCAGAGCCAGUCCCAGUCCCGCGACCCCUACGCGGCCCCGGCGCCGUACGGCUCGGGCGGGUACGGGUACGGCCAGCAGCAGCAGCCGUACGCCGCGCCGCCGUCCGGCUACCCGGCCGCCUACGGCGCGGCCGUUCCCCCGCAGUCCGCCGGGUACCCUGCUGCCUACGGCGGCGCGCAGCCGGCGUACGGCGCUGCGGCUCCUGCCCCCGCGUACGGGUCGGGCGGGUACGGGUCGGGGUCGAUGAAUGACCCUGCGAAGAAGAAGGGGAUGGGGAUGGGGGCGGGGCUGGCGGUGGGCGCGGCGGCGGGGGUGCUGGGCGGGCUGGCGCUGGCGGAAGGGGCGAGCUACCUGGAGGACAAGUUCGAGGACGACGUGGCGGAGAAGGUGGAGGACGACCUGGCGGGCGGCGGCUACGACGACGACGACUACUAG
Molecule: ribosomal RNA, 888 nt
Filed under: Triticum aestivum (bread wheat)
Lineage: Eukaryota; Viridiplantae; Streptophyta; Magnoliopsida; Poales; Poaceae
Description: partial small subunit ribosomal RNA
Source: RNAcentral